AGGGUUAGGGUUAGGGUUAGGGGUUAGGGGUUAGGGUUAGGGUUAGAGGGUUAGGGUUAGGUUUCUAGUUUUGAGUCGGUUGAUCCACUUCCAUCUCUGACACGUGGAAACCGGAGGGGGGAAGGGAGGGGUUGCACUCCACAUCAUAUACGCGCGGGUCGGAGGGUACGGGCGCGGCCGGCCAAAGUUGUAGGCCCCAUGGUUGCCCACUUGUAGAUUAACCCGUUGGUUGGGUUAAAGGACUGUCUGUCUGUAGGGUUAGGGUUAGGUAUGGUUUUAGAAUGGUUAAGGUUAGGGUUAGGGUUAGGGUAAGGUAUAGAAAAGGUUAAGUUUAGGUAGGUCUGUCAACUCAACUUAGGAUCAGGCAAAGCCCUUGAGUUGCGUCCCUUAUGCAGGUCCGGUCCUCGGUUGGUUGCCAUGUGUCCAUGUCGAGUGGUAUGGUCAUGAUGUCCAGGUCCGCUAUGUCAACGGAGGUGGAAAGCAUAGUGCAACCUAGGAGUUUUUACUCUCUUUCGGAUCCUUCUU
Long non-coding RNA from Oncorhynchus tshawytscha (Chinook salmon), 525 nucleotides. The record is from Ensembl. NCBI's taxonomy places the organism in Eukaryota, Metazoa, Chordata, Actinopteri, Salmoniformes, Salmonidae.